This is a long non-coding RNA of Orcinus orca (killer whale), 1173 nucleotides long. RefSeq lists it as uncharacterized. The record is from RefSeq and is a predicted model, not a curated record. The transcript has 3 exons. NCBI's taxonomy places the organism in Eukaryota, Metazoa, Chordata, Mammalia, Artiodactyla, Delphinidae.
CUGACCCUUGUAUCCCAAUACAACUCUUUCCCCUGUCAGCCUACAUAUUUUAUACCAUGCAUUUAAAAUACCCUGAGAAGGGGUUCAUGACACCAGGAAAGGUUUAAAGAUCUCCAGCUCAUCUCAAUAUUAACCACAGGUGAACAACCAAAAGCCACCGCAGGUUGGGGAACAGCAACCUAACCUAGGGCGCCAGCUUGGCACUUAACCUCGGAUUCCACAAGCUAAGGAAGCCCAGACACUUCCUGAUGACUGUGUCUGGGGCAGGUAAGGUUAGAUCACAGCUCACAGGCACCCCCACCAAGGACGAUGCCACGAAGACGACUGUGACGCAUCCCUGCGGCCACCAGAACGUGCCCAGCCCAGCAAGUCCGCUACAUACGAAUGAGUUCCAUUCCGAGAGCGUGUUGAUUUGAGGCCUUGAGGGCAAACAGAGAAAACUUACCACCCACCAAAGGGGACCAGUUUGAACCUAAGUUUUAGCCUUUUCCCAUGUUAAAGCCAACAGUGGUUUCAACGUAUGCGCUUUAUCCAAGUCAGUGCUGCCUCAUCAAAAUUUCUCCAAACCCACUUACACAACCCGAAACCCCAACACAUCCUGGUCCCUGUCGAGAAUUCCUUCAAGGGGGAAGGGGCUGCCUAAGCACGUGCCAAGCUGGGAAGCCAGCGCUUCUGUCCACAACCCUGAUUGGCCGCCCAGGACAUGCCGUGGACACCUGGGAAGGAGGCAACAGAGCCAAAGGGCUGUUCUUCAGUGAAUCUUCUCCAGAGAUGGGCCAUCAGGUUUCAGGGCACUGAGCUGGUGAGACAGUAGUUCUUGCACCAAAACACAGCAGGUGUGAUCCACCUCUCCAGAAAGCUCCACAGGCAGUGACACAGUCAGAGCACGGCAGAGACGCCCUGAUAGAGCCAGGGCACUGUCUGUGUCCGCCACGCCCCUUGGGGAGACGGGGCUGGUGUGCUGGACAUACCAGCAGGACGAGCCCUUCUGCAGCCGCCUCAGGGGUACCAAGCCAGGGGUUGGGUCUCUGGGUCCCUCCCUCAUUCUGCUCAGAAAGCCAGCACCCCGGGGCACCAAAACAAAGCACAGGAAGUGCUCACCUAGGCGAUUUUCACACUCUCCCGGCAGCCAGGCCAAGGGCAGGAGAAGAAUUCGGGAAGUCCCAGGUUCUU